UAAGGAAUAUUGGUCAAUGGACGCAAGUCUGAACCAGCCAUGCCGCGUGGAGGAUGAAGGUCCUCUGGAUUGUAAACUUCUUUUAUCUGGGACGAAACACUUCUUUUCUAAGAGGCCUGACGGUACCAGAUGAAUAAGCACCGGCUAACUCCGUGCCAGCAGCCGCGGUAAUACGGAGGGUGCAAGCGUUAUCCGGAUUCACUGGGUUUAAAGGGUGCGUAGGUGGGUAUGUAAGUCAGUGGUGAAAUCCCCGAGCUUAACUUGGGAACUGCCAUUGAUACUAUCUAUCUUGAAUACCGUAGAGGUAAGCGGAAUAUGUCAUGUAGCGGUGAAAUGCUUAGAUAUGACAUGGAACACCAAUUGCGAAGGCAGCUUACUAUGCGGUGAUUGACACUGAGGCACGAAAGCGUGGGUAGCAAACA
Molecule: ribosomal RNA, 422 nt
Filed under: uncultured bacterium
Lineage: Bacteria
Description: bacterial SSU rRNA
Rfam family: Bacterial small subunit ribosomal RNA
Source: RNAcentral